UACAGAGGCCUCGAGCGUUAGGCGGAAUCACUGGGCUUAAAGCGUGUGUAGGCGGCGGCCUAAGUACCUUGUGAAAUCCCACGGCUCACCCGUGGAACUGCUCGGUAUACUGGGUCGCUUGAGCCACUUAGGGGCUACCGGAACAAAUGGUGGAGCGGUGAAAUGCGUAGAUAUCAUUUGGAACGCCAAUGGUGAAAACAGGUAGCUGGGAGUGUGCUGACGCUGAGACACGAAAGCCAGGGGAGCAAACGGG
RNAcentral lists this ribosomal RNA (253 nucleotides) under uncultured bacterium. RNAcentral describes it as "partial 16S ribosomal RNA". It matches the Rfam family "Bacterial small subunit ribosomal RNA", at positions 524 to 776 of the family's 1533-position model. The record is from RNAcentral.